GGAUGCGAUCAUACCAGCACUAAUGCACCGGAUCCCAUCAGAACUCCGAAGUUAAGCGUGCUUGGCGAGAGUAGUACUAGGAUGGGUGACCCCCUGGGAAGUCUCGUGUUGGCAUCCC
RNAcentral lists this ribosomal RNA (118 nucleotides) under Ipomoea nil (Japanese morning glory). Lineage: Eukaryota; Viridiplantae; Streptophyta; Magnoliopsida; Solanales; Convolvulaceae. The record is from RNAcentral.